AUUGAACGCUGGCGGCAGGCCUAACACAUGCAAGUCGAGCGGAUGAAGGGAGCUUGCUCCUGGAUUCAGCGGCGGACGGGUGAGUAAUGCCUAGGAAUCUGCCUGGUAGUGGGGGAUAACGUCCGGAAACGGGCGCUAAUACCGCAUACGUCCUGAGGGAGAAAGUGGGGGAUCUUCGGACCUCACGCUAUCAGAUGAGCCUAGGUCGGAUUAGCUAGUUGGUGGGGUAAAGGCCUACCAAGGCGACGAUCCGUAACUGGUCUGAGAGGAUGAUCAGUCACACUGGAACUGAGACACGGUCCAGACUCCUACGGGAGGCAGCAGUAGGGAAUAUUGGACGAUGGGCGAAAGCCUGAUCCAGCCAUGCCGCGUGUGUGAAGAAGGUCUUCGGAUUGUAAAGCACUUUAAGUUGGGAGGAAGGGCAGUAAGUUAAUACCCUGCUGUUUUGACGUUACCAACAGAAUAAGCACCGGCUAACUUCGUG
RNAcentral lists this ribosomal RNA (484 nucleotides) under uncultured bacterium. RNAcentral describes it as "partial 16S ribosomal RNA". It matches the Rfam family "Bacterial small subunit ribosomal RNA", at positions 30 to 507 of the family's 1533-position model. The record is from RNAcentral.